This 301-nucleotide ribosomal RNA is filed under the name uncultured bacterium. RNAcentral describes it as "partial 16S ribosomal RNA". It matches the Rfam family "Bacterial small subunit ribosomal RNA", at positions 509 to 807 of the family's 1533-position model. The record is from RNAcentral.
CAGUCGCCACGGUAAUACGUAGGGUGCGAGCGUUAAUCGGAAUUACUGGGCGUAAAGCGUGCGCAGGCGGUUUUGUAAGACAGAGGUGAAAUCACCGGGCUCAACCUGGGAACUGCCUUUGUGACUGCAAGGCUAGAGUACGGCAGAGGGGGAUGGAAUUCCGCGUGUAGCAGUGAAAUGCGUAGAUAUGCGGAGGAACACCGAUGGCGAAGGCAAUCCCCUGGGCCUGUACUGACGCUCAUGCACGAAAGCGUGGGGAGCAAACAGGAUUAGAGACCCCCGUAGUCCCUGUCUCUUAUAC